Molecule: long non-coding RNA, 5991 nt
Filed under: Solanum tuberosum (potato)
Lineage: Eukaryota; Viridiplantae; Streptophyta; Magnoliopsida; Solanales; Solanaceae
Description: long non-coding RNA (STUB_LNC000346)
Source: RNAcentral
ACACAUAUACAGACAUGAAUGCAUACGUACUGGUUGUAUAACAAGUAGUAAUCCUAACGCUAUAUAAUAUUGUCUUGUCGAUAUUUGUGUUAAUAUUUUUAAAUUAUAAUUUAAUUUAAAAAAUUAUCAAAAAAAUAUACUUUUAAAUUAUAUUUUCAUUAACUCUCAUCUUCUAUACGUAUGAAUUCUUGAUGUAUCAACACUCCACCCCAUCCCCAUAGAAAAAUGUCAUUUCUUUCCAAAACAAAAAAGCUCUAAAAGAGCAUAUGCAACAACACUUUGCAGAACCUAUCAAGCCAAAUUACCCUCCCAAAAUAUGCAUUUCUUCAACUUCUUCUCCCUUUUCCUUUUUGUGUCUUCCCUCUUUUUGUUAAUUAAAUGGAAGAAUUCCAAUAGCAAAACCAAAAAAUUACCUCCUGGUCCAUGGAAAUUACCUUUAAUUGGAAGCAUGUUUCAUUUGCUAGGUGGACUUCCACAUCAUGUCCUAAGAGAUUUAGCAAAAAAAUAUGGACCAAUUAUGCACCUUCAACUAGGUGAAGUUUCUCUAGUUGUUGUCACUUCUCCUGACAUGGCCAAACAAGUAUUAAAAACUCAUGACCUCGCUUUUGCAUCUAGGCCCAAGCUUCUAGCUGCCGAGAUUCUCUUUUAUAACGGAACUGAUAUUGUCUUUUCCCCCUAUGGAGAUUACUGGAGACAAAUGCGUAAAAUAUGUCUAUUGGAAUUGCUUAGCGCAAAAAAUGUUAAAUCAUUCAAUUCUAUUAGACAAGAUGAAGUUCUUCGUAUGAUUGAUUUUUUUCGAUCAUCUAUUGGUGAGACAGUUAAUGCAACAAAAAAGUUUUACCAAUUCUCAAGCUCUAUGACCUGUAGAGCAGCCUUUGGGAAAGUAUUAAAAGAGCAAGACGAACUUAUACUACUCGUUAAAAAAGCAUCACAUUUAAUGGAAGGAUUUGAUGUGGCUGAUAUAUUUCCAUCACUAAAAUUUUUUCAUUUGUUAUGUGGAAUGAAGGGUAAAAUUAUGGAUGCUCACCAUGAGUUAGAUGCCAUUCUUGAAAACAUCAUCAAUGAGCACAAGAACAAUGGUGAAUUAGGAGGUGAAGGUUUAGUUGCCACAUUGCUAAGACUAAUGAAAGAGGGAGGUUUUCAAUUUCCAAUCACCAACGACAAUAUCAAAGCUAUUAUUUUUAUAAGUACAUUUUCCUUCUUGGGAAAACUGGUGCCUCUUUCUUCUAUUUUCUCUCUAAGCUUGGAUGAUUUUUGGUGAAUAAAGGUUUUGGUUAGGUUCUGACUAGAUUAUUAGAUUUAAACUGAGUUAAACGACGUAAUUUAGCUGCCCAAUGCAUAGGGAAAAGACCAAAACAACCCUGACUUAAAAGCUGACGAGGCCAUCAACGGACCCUGACCGACAGGCCGUGGACUAAUGACGGUCCGUCCUGCUAGGGCGUCGGGAUGGAUUUGAGGGUCACGAUCUACGAACACUGGACCACUGACCGUGGACCCAGCUACGGUUCGUAGGUCCUGCCGUAGGUCAUGCUUUUCUGGGAAAUUCUAGGUGGCCAACUUAUGGACCCUACCUACAGUCCGUGGUCCCAUCCACAUGUCGUGGUUUGGCCUCCGUCGGUGGCACCUUUAACUCUGAAAAUCUGCUAUUUGGUCUUUCCCGAAUUUGGGGUGUUACAAAUGUGAGGUUUGCCAUAGUGAUGGAUUUGUUCAUCCUACGCAAAACAUGUAAUUCUUUCAUUAAUUCGUCCCUGAAAUCAUUUAUGUAAAUAUUCUUCAAGAGUUCUUGAGUUUUAGCCUCAUUCUUUAACAAUGGAGGUUUUGAGUUCUUGAGGUGAGAGUCUUGCGAAUGAGAUGAGUUCUUGAUAGAAAUUGAGUGGACUUUUGAUAAUUUCAUGUUGGGGUUGUGAAUCAAAGAGAGUUUGGAAGAAACCAAUCGAUUCUAGAUGAGUUAAGACCCGAAAUUGAGCAAGAAAAUUCAUUAGAUUUUUGGGUUCGGGUGGGGCAAUGCGCCACCAAGGCGCCAGGAGGCUCCCCAAAAGCUACUUUGAGGCAUGGCCCCUGCGCCAAUAAUGCGCCAGGGUCGUCAGGCAUAUUUCUUUUCCAUUCUUCAUUCCGUGUGUGUUCUUUCAAAUUGUGUCUUCGCUCUGUUCUUGAUAUGUAAUCUUAAAGUCUUCAUUAAUCCUUGAGAGAUCCUUCAUAUCCUAAUCACAUCUCUUAAUUUACAUUUCAAAUUAAAGUAAAAUUAAGAGGGAAGUUUAAGAGGCCCUUUUGAGUCAAUUUUGAGAACUUUUUUGCAAUUAACUAUAGUUAUGAACUAAAUCUUAAGUAAAUGAGUAUGAGAAUGAGAGGAGUUGUAUAUCAUGUUUCAAAAUGAGUUUAAGGGAACUAAGUAUUCCCAAGUGUAACACUUUUGCAUUUUAAUGAAAGAAACAUCGAUUUCUAAAUGAGUUAUGAGUUCAGAGAUGUUUUCAGAGUACUACCUCUUUUAAGAGGAUCUUUUGAGUAAUUACCUCAAAUUGCGAAAUAGUUAUGUUUUAUACAUUUGAGUAUGAGAUUAUAUUGUUGGGAGUACUAUUGAGCACCGAUAUGGGGAUGAGUUCAGAUAACUCACUUUCCUCAUAAACCAUGUAGCCAACAUAGGUAAAGGAUCGUACCUUUUUAGACGACUCAUUAUUGCUUUUAAGCAUAGCUUAAUAGAUCCACUUAGUUGAGGUGUUCUACACCCUGACAAGGUAUAGGACAGUUUUGGCAGCAUAGGCGUGACGUUGUAUCAUCACAUAGCUCAUAGUGAUGGUUGUCGGUUAGAAAAUCUCCCAAAUAAGAGUAAAGAGUAUGUUAUGGUAUUUUUUUUAUACAUCAUUGAGUUUUAUCUCCUGUUUUUUAAUGUUUCAAAUAUUACAUCUAUCAUUGUUGCUUUGUAUUGAGUUGAGUAGAGGUGAGUAUUUCUUCCAGCCUUGUCAGUUCAAUUAAUCAUUGCUUUCAGUUUUUCAUUUACAUGCUCGUACAUUCAAUGUACUGACGUCUUUCGACUUGCAUCUUUUUAUGAUGCAGAUACAGGUGUUCAUGGUCAUCAACAGGCACUCCGUUGAUAGCAUUUGCAUUUCAAUUAGCUUUGGUGAGCCUCCUUACUUUCCGAAGAGUUCCACAUUUAUAUUUCAACUUUGUUAAGAUGUCGCGGGUCUUGUCCCGUCAUCUAUCGUAGUAUUUAGAGGCUUCAUAGACAGUAGUAGUUGAGAAGUCUUUCACUAUUUUCCUUAUAAUGUUUUGAGACUUUGAGUUGUUUUCAUAUGUUUAUUUAAGUUGUUUUGAGAUAUUAUCAGUUAAAGUUUGGUAAUUGGAGUCUUCAUUUUACUUGAGUAAGUCUUCCACUAAGUAGUCAGUCAGAUCAAGGGUUAACUUGGGGACCAAUGAUGGUGCUCGUGUGCUGGCCAUGUCCAAGGUGUAGGCUCGGGGCAUGACAAUGCAUUCAUGUUUGUAUAUGUGUAUGACUGCUACUACUGAAUGUAUAAUAUGUUUUGAAUAAAAAAAUGUUGGUAUAUGUUGAAAGCUCAAUAAUAGUAUAAUAAUAUCAUCAUAUUGUUUUUUUUCUUUUUCAUAAAACAUAAAUAUGUCCUUAGCUUUAACUUGACCUCAUCUCGUAUUUAUAUCUUUUAAUUUUGGAUAUACACAAGUAGGCAUUUAAAAAUAUAAAGUUGAAUAAGUAGACACUUACAUCCUACGUGACAUAAUACUCACCACAUAGGAUAUCAUGUAGGACACGAAGUGUCACAUAAAACGCCAAGUGAGACGUGUAUGUCUACUUGUUCAACUCUACAUAAGUUUAAGUAUUUACUUGUGUACACCCAAAAUUAGAGGCAUAAAUAUCAUAUAAUAUAAAAUUAAAAAGGCAUAAUAUAUAAAUGUGCCCUUUAACUUGACCGCAUUUCACAAUUAUGCCAAGUAAACAUUUAAACUUGAAUAAAAUUGAACAACUAAACAUAUGAGUCAUAUGUGACAUAAUAUACGUAGGAUAUCAUAUAGGAUGCAAAUUGUUAUGUAGGAUGCCAUGUAGGAAGUGUGUAUCUAUUUGUUCAACUUUAUACAAGUUUAAAUAUCUAUUUAUGCACAUCCGAAAAUAAAAGACGUAAAAUGUAAGUUGAGGCCAAAUUAAAAAAUAUAUCUAUAUAUCAUGAUAUGCCAAUUAAAACACGUUUAUAUAUUAGGCAUGCCACCCAUUCCACCACACAUGUCAUAAUCAUAUUAAUAUUAUUGGGAUUAAUUAUUAUAGGCAACCCCUCCCCUACUUUCCCCAAUGCUCCUACUUUCCUCCACUCAAUUUAUUGUCACUAUUCAUGUCUAGUCCACAUCUUUGAUUUUGUUGACCUUUCUCAUAAAGAUUAGUGGCUAUAGGCGUGGUAAAAUUAGGAGUAGUUUGGUAUGAGGUAUAAAGUAAAAUAGUUUUAGAGAUAAAAUGUAGAAUUGUUUUAUUCUGCGUUUGGUUGGAGGUAUCAAACAAUCCUGAGAUUAUUUAUUCCACUAUUUAAUUAUACCUUAGUGAUGAGAUAAGUUAUCACAUGUAUAUACAUGGUGGAAUCACUUAUCUCAGGAUAACUUGUUCCCAACCAAACGAUUCAUUAAGUUUUAGCUUAAUGUUGUUUGAUGGCUACUAAUUAUUGUUGAAUUUUUAGAUUAUUAAAUUUUGGAAAGGAUGAAGUAGAGUUUUGGAAAAUAUUUUCCUUAAUUUUUGAAGGGAAGUCAUUUUCCUUAAAUUUGAGGAAAAUGAGUUGAUUUGGAAAACAUUUUCCAAACAUUUUAGGUCAACCAAACAUGGGAAAUUUGGAAAAUAUUUUCCAUAAAAUGUUUUACUCCAUACCAAACACACCCUUAAACUUGUAUAAAAUUUAACAAGUAAACAUAUGAGUCAUAUGUGACAUAAUAUACGCAGGAUAUCAUAUAGAAUGCAAAUUGUCAUGUAGGAUGUCAUGUAGGACGUGGGUAUCUAUUUGUUCAACUUUAUACAAGUUUAAGGGUGUGUUUGGUACCGAUUUUCUUUGAUGAGAUAAAUUAUCACAUUUAUUGAAUGUCACUCUGCCAAUGGACAUCUCACCUUGUUCUGGAUAUUAACCUUCAUAAUAAUACUAUAUUUCUACACAUUCAUCUUAAUAUCCUAGUGAGUUUUUGACAUAUCAACACUCCGCUCUAUACAAAAAUGUCAUUUCUUUCCAAAACAAAAAGCCUCUAAAAGAGCAUAUGCAACAACACUUUGCAGAACCUAUCAAGCCAAAUAACCCUCUCAAAAUAUGCAUCUCUUCAACUUCUUUUCCCUUUUCCUUUUCCUUUUUGUAUCUUCCCUCUUUUUGUUGAUUAAAUGGAAGAAUUCCAAUAGAAAAGUCAAAAGAUUGCCUCCAGGUCCAUGGAAAUUACCUUUGAUUGGAAGCAUGUUUCAUUUGUUAGGUGGACUUCCACAUCAAGUCCUUAGAGAUUUAGCCAAAAAUAUGGACCAAUUAUGCACCUUCAACUAGGUGAAGUUUCUCUAGUUGUUGUUACUUCUCCUGACAUGGCCAAACAAGUAUUAAAAACUCAUGACCUCGCUUUUGCAUCUAGGCCCAAGCUUCUAGCUGCCGAGAUUCUCUUUUAUAACGGAACUGAUAUUGUCUUUUCCCCCUAUGGAGAUUACUGGAGACAAAUGCGUAAAAUAUGUCUAUUGGAAUUGCUUAGCGCAAAAAAUGUUAAAUCAUUCAACUCUAUUAGACAAGAUGAAGUUCUUUGUAUGAUUGAUUUUUUUCGAUCAACUACUGGUGAGACAGUUAAUGCAACAAAAAAGUUUUACCAAUUCUCAAGCUCUAUGACCUGUAGAGCAACCUUUGGGAAAGUAUUAAAAGAGCAAGACGAACUUAUACUACUCGUUAAAAAAGCAUCACAUUUAAUGGAAGGAUUUGAUGUGGCUGAUAUAUUUCCAUCACUAAAAUUUCUUCAAGUGUUAUGUGGAAUGAAGGGUAAAAUUAUGGAUGC